This is a non-coding RNA of Pseudophryne corroboree (corroboree frog), 74 nucleotides long. The record is from the annotation of a RefSeq genome assembly. NCBI's taxonomy places the organism in Eukaryota, Metazoa, Chordata, Amphibia, Anura, Myobatrachidae.
GGCCAGUUAGCUCAGUUGGUUAGAGUGUGGCGAUUGUAAUGCCAAGGUCAUGGGUUCGAUCCCUGUAUUGGCCA